Molecule: transfer RNA, 91 nt
Filed under: Pseudomonas chlororaphis
Lineage: Bacteria; Pseudomonadati; Pseudomonadota; Gammaproteobacteria; Pseudomonadales; Pseudomonadaceae
Description: tRNA-Arg(acg)
Source: RNAcentral
CUGGCCCUUGGUGCGGCGCUUCUGCUUGUACGGCAGGUAGAGGUCUUCGAGGCGGGUCUUGGUGUCGGCGAGCUUGAUGUCGCGGGCCAGU